UUGCUCCGCUGACGAGUGGCGAACGGGUGAGUAAUGCAUCGGAACGUGCCUAUUUGUGGGGGAUAACGUAGCGAAAGUUACGCUAAUACCGCAUACGCCCUGAGGGGGAAAGCGGGGGAUUCGUAAGAACCUCGCGCAAUUAGAGCGGCCGAUGUCGGAUUAGCUAGUUGGUGGGGUAAAGGCUCACCAAGGCGACGAUCCGUAGCGGGUCUGAGAGGAUGAUCCGCCACACUGGGACUGAGACACGGCCCAGACUCCUACGGGAGGCAGCAGUGGGGAAUUUUGGACAAUGGGCGAAAGCCUGAUCCAGCCAUGCCGCGUGAGUGAAGAAGGCCUUCGGGUUGUAAAGCUCUUUCAGCCGGAAAGAAAUCGCGCAGGCUAAUACUCUGCGUGGAUGACGGUACCGGAAGAAGAAGCACCGGCUAACUACGUGCCAGCAGCCGCGGUAAUACGUAGGGUGCGAGCGUUAAUCGGAAUUACUGGGCGUAAAGCGUGCGCAGGCGGUUAUAUAAGACAGAUGUGAAAUCCCCGGGCUCAACCUGGGAACUGCGUUUGUGACUGUAUGACUAGAGUACGGCAGAGGGAGGUGGAAUUCCGCGUGUAGCAGUG
Molecule: ribosomal RNA, 609 nt
Filed under: uncultured bacterium
Lineage: Bacteria
Description: bacterial SSU rRNA
Rfam family: Bacterial small subunit ribosomal RNA
Source: RNAcentral